This is a long non-coding RNA of Chrysoperla carnea, 152 nucleotides long. RefSeq lists it as uncharacterized. The record is from RefSeq and is a predicted model, not a curated record. The transcript is spliced from 4 exons. NCBI's taxonomy places the organism in Eukaryota, Metazoa, Arthropoda, Insecta, Neuroptera, Chrysopidae.
GAAUUUUGGUAAGUUAAAUUAUAUGGUGGGUUAAUUACAUGCUAAAAAAUGUAUAUUUCAAUAAUCUGAAAAAAAUUUGAUCGCGCUCGAGUUACUACGGGUAACGCAACUUUGCAAUAUUCCCAUUUCCUUGCGUCACGCUUAAAUAAUCA